This 100-nucleotide signal recognition particle RNA is filed under the name Clostridia bacterium. RNAcentral's name for it is "signal recognition particle sRNA small type". It matches the Rfam family "Bacterial small signal recognition particle RNA". Rfam says of the family: The signal recognition particle (SRP) is a universally conserved ribonucleoprotein involved in the co-translational targeting of proteins to membranes. The record is from RNAcentral. Lineage: Bacteria; Bacillati; Bacillota; Clostridia.
CAACGGGUCCUGUGCGACAGGAUACCGCGAACCAUGUCAGGCGGGGAACCGAGCAGCAUUAAGCGGAAAUACUGUGCGACACAGUCAAAGCCUGCUGCUG